RNAcentral lists this ribosomal RNA (398 nucleotides) under uncultured bacterium. RNAcentral's name for it is "bacterial SSU rRNA". It matches the Rfam family "Bacterial small subunit ribosomal RNA", at positions 362 to 759 of the family's 1533-position model. The record is from RNAcentral.
UAUUGGUCAAUGGACGCAAGUCUGAACCAGCCAUGCCGCGUGAAGGAUGAAGGUCCUCUGGAUUGUAAACUUCUUUUAUAGGGGACGAAAAAAGGGAAUUCUUUCUCACUUGACGGUACCCUAGGAAUAAGCACCGGCUAACUCCGUGCCAGCAGCCGCGGUAAUACGGAGGGUGCAAGCGUUAUCCGGAUUCACUGGGUUUAAAGGGUGCGUAGGUGGGCAUUUAAGUCAGUGGUGAAAUCUCCGGGCUUAACCCGGAAACUGCCAUUGAUACUAUUUGUCUUGAAUAUUGUGGAGGUAAGCGGAAUAUGUCAUGUAGCGGUGAAGUGCUUAGAUAUGACAUAGAACACCCAUUGCGAAGGCAGCUUACUACGCAAAUAUGACACUGAGCACGAAAG